GUCGAGCGGACCGACGGGAGCUUGCUCCCUUAGGUUAGCGGCGGACGGGUGAGUAACACGUGGGUAACCUGCCUGUAAGACUGGGAUAACUCCGGGAAACCGGGGCUAAUACCGGAUGCUUGAUUGAACCGCAUGGUUCAAUUAUAAAAGGUGGCUUUUAGCUACCACUUACAGAUGGACCCGCGGCGCAUUAGCUAGUUGGUGAGGUAACGGCUCACCAAGGCAACGAUGCGUAGCCGACCUGAGAGGGUGAUCGGCCACACUGGGACUGAGACACGGCCCAGACUCCUACGGGAGGCAGCAGUAGGGAAUCUUCCGCAAUGGACGAAAGUCUGACGGAGCAACGCCGCGUGAGUGAUGAAGGUUUUCGGAUCGUAAAACUCUGUUGUUAGGGAAGAACAAGUACCGUUCGAAUAGGGCGGUACCUUGACGGUACCUAACCAGAAAGCCACGGCUAACUACGUGCCAGCAGCCGCGGUAAUACGUAGGUGGCAAGCGUUGUCCGGAAUUAUUGGGCGUAAAGCGCGCGCAGGCGGUUUCUUAAGUCUGAUGUGAAAGCCCCCGGCUCAACCGGGGAGGGUCAUUGGAAACUGGGGAACUUGAGUGCAGAAGAGGAGAGUGGAAUUCCACGUGUAGCGGUGAAAUGCGUAGAGAUGUGGAGGAACACCAGUGGCGAAGGCGACUCUCUGGUCUGUAACUGACGCUGAGGCGCGAAAGCGUGGGGAGCGAACAGGAUUAGAUACC
Molecule: ribosomal RNA, 744 nt
Filed under: Bacillus licheniformis
Lineage: Bacteria; Bacillati; Bacillota; Bacilli; Caryophanales; Bacillaceae
Description: bacterial SSU rRNA
Rfam family: Bacterial small subunit ribosomal RNA
Source: RNAcentral